AGAGUUUGAUCCUGGCUCAGGAUGAACGCCGGCGGUGUGCCUAAUACAUGCAAGUCGUACGCACUGGCCCAACUGAUUGAUGGUGCUUGCACCUGAUUGACGUUGGAUCACCAGUGAGUGGCGGACGGGUGAGUAACACGUAGGUAACCUGCCCCGGAGCGGGGGAUAACAUUUGGAAACAGAUGCUAAUACCGCAUAACAACAAAAGCCACAUGGCUUUUGUUUGAAAGAUGGCUUUGGCUAUCACUCUGGGAUGGACCUGCGGUGCAUUAGCUAGUUGGUAAGGUAACGGCUUACCAAGGCGAUGAUGCGUAGCCGAGUUGAGAGACUGAUCGGCCACAAUGGAACUGAGACACGGUCCAUACUCCUACGGGAGGCAGCAGUAGGGAAUCUUCCACAAUGGGCGCAAGCCUGAUGGAGCAACACCGCGUGAGUGAAGAAGGGUUUCGGCUCGUAAAGCUCUGUUGUUGGAGAAGAACGUGCGUGAGAGUAACUGUUCACG
RNAcentral lists this ribosomal RNA (502 nucleotides) under uncultured bacterium. RNAcentral describes it as "bacterial SSU rRNA". It matches the Rfam family "Bacterial small subunit ribosomal RNA", at positions 8 to 474 of the family's 1533-position model. The record is from RNAcentral.